This is a long non-coding RNA of Cyprinus carpio (common carp), 1895 nucleotides long. RefSeq lists it as uncharacterized. The transcript has 8 exons. Lineage: Eukaryota; Metazoa; Chordata; Actinopteri; Cypriniformes; Cyprinidae. The record is from RefSeq and is a predicted model, not a curated record.
GCGUAUAGAAUUGUGUGGCACCAAAUCAAAUGGUAAUUUUCCUCUUCACUCUGAUCAUCAGAUGUUUGAGAUGCUGGUCAAAUCUGGAGAUAACGUCCUCCUCGACGCUCCCACAUACUCAGGAACGCUGGCAGCUUCCCAUCAUCACCAUGUUUUACCUGCGAUCUCGCUCUCUCUCGACCCAUUACACGUAAACAUUACCAACUCUUUCAUCAACAGCUGCAGCCGCUGGGCUGUAACCUCAUUAACGUGAUCAUCACUGCAUGAUCCCUGCAGACCUGAGGAAGCUCCUGGAGCGCUGGGUCCCAGCAGCGUCCCGAGAGUCCUGUACACCAUCCCGAACGAAGGUAACCCCACCGGAGCGUGCAUGACCUGUGAGAGGAAACAGGACGUCUAUGAGCUUACUAGAAAAUAUGAUUUGCUUAUCACUGAGGACGACCCGUAUUAUUUCCUACAGUUCCAGAAAGUAAGCAGCUCUGAGUUUAUCUGUUUGUAUUGUGUGAUAGAUUAGCCUGCAGCGGUAGUCAUACACUGACCUCUCUGAUAGCCUCUCUAUUGCUGCUGUGAUAAGAUAACACUCAGUAAUAAAAGAAAUCAAGUCAAUCCUCUGCUCUCUUCUUUUGUUGCUCUGCUGUCAUCCAGCCGUGGGCUCUUCCAACGUUUCUGUCCAUGGAUGUCGACGGGUGCGUCCUGCGAAUGGAUUCCUUCUCUAAGAUCCUGUCUUCGGGGCCUCCACGAUGCACACCAGCACCUUCACACAGGUCAGACUCUUACCUUCCUGCAUCAUCAUCAUCGUCACUCACAUUCACCGCCCUGCUUCUCUCCUGAAUCAGCAGCGCAGCAGCUUCAGUCUGUGAUCCCUAAAUGACAGACCUUGUGUUCUGCCUUCAGAGAUGUGUCUCUGAGAGCAGGAGUGGAUUCAGGAGAGGAGGAGCUCAUGGUUUCUCAGCUGCUUCAUAGCUGGGGUCCAGAAGGGUUUCUCAAGCACACUGAAGAGGUGAUCUCAGAGGAACGCCAUGCUCUCCUCCGCAGACAAAUGGCUCAUAGCUGAAUGGCAUCCUCCCAUGGCCAGCGUGUUCCUGUGGAUUAAACUCAAGGGCAUUAAAGACACACAGCUGCUGAUAAUGGAGAGAGCGUUAGAGAAAGAGUUUGUAGGUUCUUCUGGUUCCUGGAGGAGUUUUCAACAUCAGCAGCUCAGAUCCAUGUCCGUAUGUUAGAGCCGCCUUUUCCCUCUCCACACCUCAACAGAUCGAUGAGGCUUUCAGGAGACUGAUGAGGCUGAUCUUAUGAAGGAUGAUUUCCAGGAAGAGGAAUCAAGGGUCUGAUAUUUUUAGUUUUAUGGGAACUGGUUUAGUGUGUAAAAUAUUUAACCAUAAGAAGGUCAAAGUCAAGUGGAUGUAUUUUAUUGCAAUAGUCCCUUAUUUUAAAUCUUCAUGGUGAAUUGUGAAGGUUAAAGCUGUGGAUUUCUGUGUCUUCCUUAAUGGACAGUGACCUGUAAUAUGACAAGUUAGCUGCUAUUAACUUGAGCUGUUUUGAACACAAAUGAGUAGUAAAUGUACUGGUAUGUUGCACGUAGAAGCUUUUAAAAUGGCAUUAGACUAAUGAACUCUCAUCACAGAAUGUAAUGACUCAUUUCUGCAAUAACUUGAAUCCAGCUCUGUUUUUUCAUAUUUUGUAAAGUCAUGGGAAUGCAAUAUUGGAUUUUCUUCAGCUGCUUUUGGAGUAAAUAGUAAUGAAAAAAUUAUAUUUGCAAUUGUCUCCCAUAUAGACACCAGAACAUAAUAGCUUACCUUUCUGGAAAUGUAAAAUACGGUCUAUGCUAGUCACCAUUUGACUUACUAACCCAUAUUUUUGUAUGUUGUCCUUUGGACUUGCAUGCAAAAAUCAAUAUUGUA